This 782-nucleotide ribosomal RNA is filed under the name uncultured bacterium. Its description in RNAcentral is "bacterial SSU rRNA". It matches the Rfam family "Bacterial small subunit ribosomal RNA", at positions 8 to 786 of the family's 1533-position model. The record is from RNAcentral.
AGAGUUUGAUCAUGGCUCAGAUUGAACGCUGGCGGCAGGCUUAACACAUGCAAGUCGAGCGGAAACGAUGGGAGCUUGCUCCCAGGCGUCGAGCGGCGGACGGGUGAGUAAUACUUAGGAAUCUGCCCAGUAGUGGGGGAUAGCUCGGGGAAACUCGAAUUAAUACCGCAUACACCCUACGGGGAAAAGGGGGCGCUUGCGCUCUCGCUAUUGGAUGAGCCUAAGUCGGAUUAGCUAGUUGGUGGGGUAAAGGCCUACCAAGGCGACGAUCUGUAGCUGGCCUGAGAGGAUGAUCAGCCACACCGGGACUGAGACACGGCCCGGACUCCUACGGGAGGCAGCAGUGGGGAAUAUUGGACAAUGGGGGCAACCCUGAUCCAGCCAUGCCGCGUGUGUGAAGAAGGCCUUUUGGUUGUAAAGCACUUUAAGCAGUGAAGAAGACCUAACGGUUAAUACCCGUUAGCGAUGACAUUAGCUGCAGAAUAAGCACCGGCUAACUCUGUGCCAGCAGCCGCGGUAAUACAGAGGGUGCAAGCGUUAAUCGGAAUUACUGGGCGUAAAGCGAGCGUAGGUGGCUUGAUAAGUCAGAUGUGAAAUCCCCGGGCUUAACCUGGGUACUGCAUCUGAUACUGUUAGGCUAGAGUAGGUGAGAGGGAGGUAGAAUUUCAGGUGUAGCGGUGAAAUGCGUAGAGAUCUGAAGGAAUACCGAUGGCGAAGGCAGCCUCCUGGCAUCAUACUGACACUGAGGUUCGAAAGCGUGGUAGCAAACAGGAUUAGAUACC